RNAcentral lists this precursor RNA (642 nucleotides) under Oryza sativa Indica Group (long-grained rice). RNAcentral describes it as "putative precursor microRNA R159d". The stretch from base 223 to 413 matches the Rfam family "MIR159 microRNA precursor family". The record is from RNAcentral. Lineage: Eukaryota; Viridiplantae; Streptophyta; Magnoliopsida; Poales; Poaceae.
UCUGAUCCGACGGCCAAGAUUUGCCCCUGAGUUCUAUAUAAACCCACCAACCCCUAAGCAAUCGUUGUACUCAGAACUCAUGCGUUCCUAGGCUAGGUAGAAACUCAUAAUAGCACACAAGGAUUUUGAUUUAGCAAGCUGUGUCACCUUUUCUGUUCAUAUACUUUUGUCUGUUUUUGUUGUGUUUGAUACAUAGGUUGAAGAAAGAUGGAUAUCUUGCUGUGAUGUGAGGAGGAGCUCCUUUCGAUCCAAUUCAGGAGAGGAAGUGGUGGGAUGCAGCUGCCGGUUCAUGGAUACCUCUGCAGUUCAUGCCGGUAGGCCUGCACUUGCAUGGGUUUGCAUGACCUGGGAGAUGAACCUGCCAUUGUGUUCCUCUAUUGAUUGGAUUGAAGGGAGCUCCGGCUACACCUAUCUCUCUCACACACAUAUUAUCAUCAUGGUAUGUAUAUUAUAAGUUUGCAGCUUGUUCUCAAUUAAUUUUGGGUUUUCAUCACUGCAGAAGUAAAUGGUGACAGGAGUGCAGAAGAUGAGAAGAAGAGAUAUUGUCGGAGGACCGGAACCGGAGACAGAUUGAUCAGAUUAAGUAGCAAAUUAGACUAUUGUGUAUACUGUAUUGUUUCUUUUUCUUUCUUCAUCCGUGUC